AAGUCGUAACAAGGUUUCCGUAGGUGAACCUGCGGAAGGAUCAUUACCGAGUGAGGGCCCUCUGGGUCCAACCUCCCACCCGUGUUUAUUUUACCUUGUUGCUAUCGGCGAGCCUGCCUUUUGGCUGCCGGGGGACGUCUGUCCCCGGGUCCGCGCUCGCCGAAGACACCUUAGAACUCUGUCUGAAGAUUGUAGUCUGAGAUUAAAUAUAAAUUAUUUAAAACUUUCAACAACGGAUCUCUUGGUUCCGGCAUCGAUGAAGAACGCAGCGAAAUGCGAUACGUAAUGUGAAUUGCAGAAUUCAGUGAAUCAUCGAGUCUUUGAACGCACAUUGCGCCCUCUGGUAUUCCGGAGGGCAUGCCUGUCCGAGCGUCAUUGCUGCCCUCAAGCACGGCUUGUGUGUUGGGCUCCGUCCUCCUUCCGGGGGACGGGCCCGAAAGGCAGCGGCGGCACCGCGUCCGGUCCUCAAGCGUAUGGGGCUUUGUCACCCGCUUUGUAGGACUGGCCGGCGCCUGCCGAUCAACCAAACUUUUUUCCAGGUUGACCUCGGAUCAGGUAGGGAUACCCGCUGAACUUAA
This 578-nucleotide ribosomal RNA is filed under the name Penicillium brevicompactum. RNAcentral describes it as "eukaryotic LSU rRNA". The stretch from base 222 to 375 matches the Rfam family "5.8S ribosomal RNA". Lineage: Eukaryota; Fungi; Ascomycota; Eurotiomycetes; Eurotiales; Aspergillaceae. The record is from RNAcentral.